UUCAAAAUAAAUAAAAUAAAAAAAGAUCAUAAUACAACAAAUUUUUUUCUACAAAGUUUUCUAAUGUUUUUAUUUCCCUCUUUAUUAUUAAGUACUUCCCAUUAUAUAUUAUUUUUAUUAAUAAUAUAUAUGUAGGGAUGUUCAUCGGUAAAUUAUUGUACCAAAUCAAAUCUAUUCAAUUUUGGCUACCGAUAUUGGUACCGAUUGGACUGGUAUACCGAACCGGUUAGCUGAUCUGAAACCGUUGCAAUGCCAGUUUUUAUCUAAUUUUAUACCGGUUGUCAAUAAAGUCAGAACUUCGUUCCACUGGUCAUAAACUUUUUCUGACCACACAAUCACAAUUUUUACAAUCCAACCAAAACCAACUCUUACAAAACCUUCUACAAAUUCAUUUUCUUCUUCUACAAAAAACCAUCACAAACAAAAACAACAAUUAUCACUACAACUGAUCAAAUCAACAAUAUGUCAUUACAAUAAGUUAAAAAAAACAAUAAAUAAGCACAAAAUUGCCAUUAUAAGAGAAAAGGUUAAAACUUAGAUCCAAUUACUGGAGCAAAUUUUUUCCUGUAACAUGCAAGUAGAAAAAUUAAGAAUGUGAGCUAACAAUCAACUUUUAUGAGGUUAACAAAUAAACCCUAAAACUGGCAAAACCCCAAGUAAAUUAAGAACUAAAUAAAGUUUAAACUAGCAAAUCAAUAUGCAAGCAACACAAAAUUAAAAACUCAUAUAAAAGAAAAAGAUAAACAUGACUUGAAGAUAAAAAAGAAAUGAACAAGGAGUAAUUGUAGAAUAACUAGAAAUGAUCUAAACAAUGGAACGAAAUCUAAACAAAUAAAAAAGAAAACUCCCAAAACAGAGCAUAGGCUACAUAAUAGAUUUUGGAAUGGGAACAUACCUAUCUAUAAGGACGUCGACGACGAAAAUCGAGUCAGAUGCACUUAAUUUUUAGUCUUAAUUUGGGGGGAGGUGAGAUGAGAGAGAAGAAGAUAAAUUGAAGGGAGGGGUAAUUAGUGAAAGCCAUAGGUAAUUAGAUAUUGUCUGGAUGAUGGAUGACAUCAUGAGAGAAUAGAAGCAGGUGCGACGAUGGAGAGAAAGGUAGAGAUGGAUUCAAGAUGGAGAGAAAUUGAAAAGUGAGAAAGGUGCAGAGCAAAUAGGAAUAAAAUUAAUAGAUCUGUAACUGGUAUAACCGACUCGGUUCGGUUAUAUACUGAACGAGUCAAAC
This 1222-nucleotide long non-coding RNA is filed under the name Panax ginseng (ginseng). RNAcentral's name for it is "long non-coding RNA (PGIN_LNC017244)". The record is from RNAcentral. Lineage: Eukaryota; Viridiplantae; Streptophyta; Magnoliopsida; Apiales; Araliaceae.